Myotis lucifugus (little brown bat) is the source of this 85-nucleotide non-coding RNA. NCBI's taxonomy places the organism in Eukaryota, Metazoa, Chordata, Mammalia, Chiroptera, Vespertilionidae. The record is from Rfam.
UGAAGAGCUCUGACACUAAGAUGUGUGGUUGUCAUGGGUUGGUGGGAACCAGGCUUGCUCAGAGUUAGUGUUACCAGCGCUCAGU